This 326-nucleotide ribosomal RNA is filed under the name uncultured eukaryote. RNAcentral describes it as "partial 18S ribosomal RNA". It matches the Rfam family "Eukaryotic small subunit ribosomal RNA", at positions 1470 to 1796 of the family's 1831-position model. The record is from RNAcentral.
CCCUUAGAUGUUCUGGGCUGCACGCGCGCUACACUGAUGCGCUCAACGAGUUUAUGACCUUGCCCGGAAGGGUUGGGUAAUCUUUUCAAAACGCAUCGUGAUGGGGAUAGAUUAUUGCAAUUAUUAAUCUUCAACGAGGAAUUCCUAGUAAGCGCGAGUCAUCAGCUCGUGCUGAUUACGUCCCUGCCCUUUGUACACACCGCCCGUCGCUCCUACCGAUUGUGUGAUCCGGUGAAUAAUUCGGACUGCGGCAAUGUUCAGCUCCUGAAUGUUGCUGCGGAAAGUUUAGUGAACCUUAUCACUUAGAGGAAGGAGAAGUCGUAACA